AAAGAAAUGAGGGAUCCUGAGGUCACUGUGCCACGUGGGUCGUCAACUGAAUGUGCCAAGGAACGUGAACAUGAGUCUGCUCACAAGUAAUGCAGAGUGAGGCUGAAGAGGCUGAAAAAUACUCCUCUCGAUCCUGUAGUCCAUUGCUACAUGUUCUUGCCUCGGAGCUGAAGCCAAAGUUGCUGUUUAUAAAAGAAUCAUCAUAUCAUUAAAGAUUUGAGGCUCCAUUGCUUCAGGCUUUUCAGCGGGAGAGUUGUGCUUGUGGCACGGAUUGAUGAGCCUGGAUUGGGUCCUCAGCCUUCCAGACAGCUGUGAAGAUGCUGGGUAAGACCAGCAGGUGCUGUUCUUGAAGAAAGGAAAA
Long non-coding RNA from Pseudopipra pipra, 361 nucleotides. RefSeq lists it as uncharacterized. The record is from RefSeq and is a predicted model, not a curated record. The transcript is spliced from 3 exons. NCBI's taxonomy places the organism in Eukaryota, Metazoa, Chordata, Aves, Passeriformes, Pipridae.